This 127-nucleotide small RNA is filed under the name Marmota monax (woodchuck). The record is from RNAcentral. Lineage: Eukaryota; Metazoa; Chordata; Mammalia; Rodentia; Sciuridae.
GCUGGGUAUGAUGGCAUAUGCCUGUAAUCCCAGCAGCUUCGGAGGCUGAGGCAGGAGGAUAGUCAGUUCAAAGCCAGCCUCAGAAACUUAAUGAGGCCCUCAGAAACUCAACAAGACCCUGUCUCAA